GUAUAAAGAGGAUGCAGGGCCCUCCACAGUUCUGCUUCAUUUCUUACCCAUGUUGGACGGGACAGUUUAACACAGGACUAUAAAAAAAGACUUGUACAAAGCUGCAUCAGAGUUCUCAGCGCUCUGGACCACAGCCAUGGUGAAACCAGAAGAUUGUGUAGUCUCUCUGCUGAAUGACGUUGCUCAGAAGUCCUUCGGCUCCCUCCUUAGGAGUGUCUCCAUUCAUCUCACCAACAACUGCAAAUCACACGUCCUGAUGAAUCCACAGGUUUACACCAGCAGUGGACACUCCUACGACCCCCCGCAGCCCACGGUGGAAAAGGGGGUCACACAAGUCUGUGCUUUUGGACAUGAGAAAGGAUGUCCCUUAGGUGCGGUGGGGGUCCUGACUUAUGACAUUGUUGACUCCCAGAAGAAAGCAAUCAAGCGUCUGGCAAUCAUGUUUUCUGUGCCAUUCAACUACGUUUCUGAUGUUAACUGGUUUGCCCUGGGUUUGUUUGACGUUGCUCAAGCGUGUGGUGAAUCUCUAUAUGAGCUCAUGUACUACCGUGAGGGACCAUUCAAGAGGGAGAAGGCGUCUGGUUCAGAAAUGAGCUUCCAAGAGGGAAAGCACACCUUGAUAGGAACCAUGUGUCCUAUGGGAAAUGCAGAAAUUAAAGUAGAACUCUGGGAUUAAGACUAAUUUGAUAAAUUUGAUCAAUUUUGAAAACAUUAUGAGCUAACUGUAUAUGGCUGAUAAAAUUGUGAUGCAUCACCAGGCUGCCUACUGACCAGAUCAGUACCAGAGCUACAGACCAAUUACCUUAACAUCUUCUGCCUGACUAUCUGAGCAUGACCAUAUAACCAUAUGACCAUUUUAUUAAUUGAUUAAAUCUAUUUUUAUAUUUUAAGACCACAAAGACCAGAUGUUUGUACCAUACAUUUCUUAACGUUGUUGUAGCCAAUGAUUAAACUGCUUUUUUUUGUCA
Conger conger (European conger) is the source of this 968-nucleotide long non-coding RNA. RefSeq lists it as uncharacterized. The record is from RefSeq and is a predicted model, not a curated record. The transcript has 3 exons. Lineage: Eukaryota; Metazoa; Chordata; Actinopteri; Anguilliformes; Congridae.